This is a long non-coding RNA of Amphiprion ocellaris (clown anemonefish), 1528 nucleotides long. RefSeq lists it as uncharacterized. Lineage: Eukaryota; Metazoa; Chordata; Actinopteri; Pomacentridae. The record is from RefSeq and is a predicted model, not a curated record. The transcript is spliced from 2 exons.
GCAAGUAGACUUCAGUAGUCAGGAGAACUCAAUGUGGUGCUUUCAGGCAUGGUCUUUUAAAAUGGAUUCUUGCAUCUCAUUAAGGGAGGGGGCAUCUGGACCAACCUCUGUUGGGGAGGGCUAAACUCCAGAUGUCCCUCGCAUAAUUCCACGUGAAGAUAAUUUUGUGGUAUCUAUAACUCCAAAAAUAUAGUAAUUUGGUGAGCGUGAUUUAUCUAGGUGCAUUACUGGCCAAGAGUGGAUCAGAAUGAUACCGAAUGUGAUCAUGUGAAUAGCAGACAGGUUAAGACAUAUUAUGUUGGUACCAAUCAGGAGAAAUAAAAGAUUACAGGCGAGGCAAGAUGUAGGUUGAUCAUGAAGUUAUUAAAAAGUUCACUUGUUCUGUGAAAUGGAGGUGCAUAAAAAGGAAUUUAGUCCAGAAUUGUGAGAUGAUUGUCUUUGUUAGUUCUGAUGUGAGUCCAGAAUUUCUUUGUCAGUGAGUAGAAUGUCUUUGAAGUUGUCAUGCAGGUUCCUGAGCCCCCCGUCUAGGGCUCAGCAAUCAAUCAGAAUGUUUAUUGCCAGCAAUUUGGUUUCUUUGUAGGCUUGGUAGUACUUGGGAGUUUAAAUCAGCCUCUUGGCGGAGACAGGCCCAAUACACAUCCUGUAUAGGGGAAUCCUUUAACGUCUGAUCCCGUGCUUGCCUCCUGCUUCGCUGAUCAAAAGCGGAGCCUGUCUCCAUCCUGUGGCUGCAGAGCUUUUAGGGCUCCAGAGCUAUAGGCGGAGGUGGGUGGAUAAACAAAACCUGCUCUGGUUCUGUUUCAUUGUUGAUAAUGGCUGGUGGAUCCUACACUAAUGUUAUGUAGUGCUAGUGCUGUAGGGGAGCAAAAGAGAGGCACUGAUGGAAGACACUUGGAAGUGAGCAUUAACAUCUCACCGUUUGGAUUUCCCUGGAAAACUCAUUCUGAGUGCUUAAAAUAGAAAUGCAGCUGUUAUACCAAGGUCACAAGAAAUGGAUAAUGCAUAUGACUUGCUUCACAUUAUUAUCCAUACUACCUUUAAUACUUAAGGUGACAUACUACCCAUGUUUAGUCUUUUUCAGAAAUACAGACUCUAUCAGCUUCUUUUCACCACACCCAGAGAGGAGCUACUGACAGGCGUGGAGAAGACCAUUGAUGUGUUCUGUUGUCAGGAUCCUCUCACCCCGCUGGAGCAGGGCAUUUCCACCCACCUUUGCUUACAGUAAUUGCCCUGUCUGCUAUUCAAAUUAAUGAAAAGUUGAUGCUGGGUGAAUGACUGGCAUGAAUUAAUAUUAAUUGCAGCCUGUGAUUGUUUCAUUCUUUACUUUACUGUACUGUUUGUAUAUGGAUCCAUGCUGUGUAUAACCAGUCCAUAGGUCUACAUAUCUGACCGUUUCUGUACCAAUCAAUCCAGUGGUAUGUAACAGAAACAACGAGAAGGUGGUUAGAUGUGCUUAGAUGUUCCUUCGCAAUAAAUGGGUUGCCUGUUGACAAAAAAACUAUAAUAAAACAACUCUUGUCUGAAUGAUACA